AUUGAACGCUGGCGACAGGCCUAACACAUGCAAGUCGAGCGGAUGAAGGGAGCUUGCUCCUGGAUUCAGCGGCGGACGGGUGAGUAAUGCCUAGGAAUCUGCCUGGUAGUGGGGGAUAACGUCCGGAAACGGGCGCUAAUACCGCAUACGUCCUGAGGGAGAAAGUGGGGGAUCUUCGGACCUCACGCUAUCAGAUGAGCCUAGGUCGGAUUAGCUAGUUGGUGGGGUAAAGGCCUACCAAGGCGACGAUCCGUAACUGGUCUGAGAGGAUGAUCAGUCACACUGGAACUGAGACACGGUCCAGACUCCUACGGGAGGCAGCAGUGGGGAAUAUUGGACAAAGGGCGAAAGCCUGAUCCAGCCAUGCCGCGUGUGUGAAGAAGGUCUUCGGAUUGUAAAGCACUUUAAGUUGGGAGGAAGGGCAGUAAGUUAAUACGUUGCUGUUUUGACGUUACCAACAGAAUAAGCACCGGCUAACUUCGUG
This 484-nucleotide ribosomal RNA is filed under the name uncultured bacterium. Its description in RNAcentral is "partial 16S ribosomal RNA". It matches the Rfam family "Bacterial small subunit ribosomal RNA", at positions 30 to 507 of the family's 1533-position model. The record is from RNAcentral.